Molecule: ribosomal RNA, 301 nt
Filed under: uncultured bacterium
Lineage: Bacteria
Description: partial 16S ribosomal RNA
Rfam family: Bacterial small subunit ribosomal RNA
Source: RNAcentral
CAGUAGCCACGGGAAUACAGAGGGUGCGAGCGUUAAUCGGAAUUACUGGGCGUAAAGCGCACGUAGGCGGCUUGGUAAGUUAGAGGUGAAAGCCCGGAGCUCAACUCCGGAAUUGCCUUUAAGACUGCCGGGCUAGCAGGUGAGAGAGGUAAGUGGAAUUCCGAGUGUAGAGGUGAAAUUCGUAGAUAUUCGGAAGAACACCAGUGGCGAAGGCGGCUUACUGGCUCAUACUGGACGCUGAGGUGCGAAAGCGUGGGGAGCAAACAGGAUUAGAGACCCCAGUAGUCCCUGUCUCUUAUAC